GGGGCAUAGCUCAGUGGUAGAGUGCAUGCUUAGCAUGCAUGAGGUCCUGGGUUCAAGCCCCAGUACCAUCA
This 71-nucleotide transfer RNA is filed under the name Camelus bactrianus (Bactrian camel). It matches the Rfam family "tRNA". From Rfam's summary of the family: Transfer RNA (tRNA) molecules are approximately 80 nucleotides in length. Their secondary structure includes four short double-helical elements and three loops (D, anti-codon, and T loops). Further hydrogen bonds mediate the characteristic L-shaped molecular structure. tRNAs have two regions of fundamental functional importance: the anti-codon, which is responsible for specific mRNA codon recognition, and the 3' end, to which the tRNAs corresponding amino acid is attached (by aminoacyl-tRNA synthetases). tRNAs cope with the degeneracy of the genetic code in two manners: having more than one tRNA (with a specific anti-codon) for a particular amino acid; and 'wobble' base-pairing, i.e. permitting non-standard base-pairing at the 3rd anti-codon position. Lineage: Eukaryota; Metazoa; Chordata; Mammalia; Artiodactyla; Camelidae. RNAcentral also lists the same sequence under 2 other names. The record is from Rfam by way of RNAcentral.